ACGAACGCUGGCGGCGUGCUUAACACAUGCAAGUCGAGCGGUAAGGCCCUUUCGGGGGUACACGAGCGGCGAACGGGUGAGUAACACGUGGGUGACCUGCCCUCAGCUCUGGGAUAAGCCUGGGAAACCGGGUCUAAUACUGGAUAUGACUCCAUGACGCAUGUUGUGGGGUGGAAAGCCUUGUGCGGCUGAGGAUGGGCCCGCGGCCUAUCAGCUUGUUGGUGGGGUGANGGCCUACCAAGGCGACGACGGGUAGCCGGCCUGAGAGGGCGACCGGCCACACUGGGACUGAGACACGGCCCAGACUCCUACGGGAGGCAGCAGUGGGGAAGUCUUGCGCAAUGGGCGAAAGCCUGACGCAGCGACGCCGCGUGAGGGAUGA
RNAcentral lists this ribosomal RNA (382 nucleotides) under uncultured bacterium. RNAcentral describes it as "bacterial SSU rRNA". It matches the Rfam family "Bacterial small subunit ribosomal RNA", at positions 29 to 411 of the family's 1533-position model. The record is from RNAcentral.